CAAGUUCACUAAAUCAGUGGAUAUGAGUGGAAACCCUCCCUGGGCCAUGAAUCACGCAGAGGCCCUGGCGUGAGACGCCCGCCACCCACCACUCCUCUGCUGCUCCCAGGCCUCCUUUUUCGAAUACGGAUCAAAUCUGUUAAUGCCUGACAUUGGCUGUAAACCAGCUGUCCAUCAGCGGCCACAGGGCAGAUUUGUUAUGACUGAAGGGAUUCUGGGACCGUCUCUGGGAAAAGCACACGGGGCUCGAAAAGUUAGCAAACGCUCGCAGAGCAGUUCAUUUGUCACGGAGGCCAUUUUAUAUGUUUCUCAAAAUGCACCACAGAGGAUGGCCAACACCCGUUUCUAUCUUUAGAUGGGGGAAUCCACCCAAAGCUGUCACUCAUGUGGUCAAAUCUCUAAGAAAGAAAGGUGCACCUUUCGUGCCAGCUGCUCUCGUGUGCCAACAUCAGGGUAUUUGGUUUCUUGGAAAAGGUUCUCCAGUGCCUCCAGUUGCUCGUCGGUGAAAAUGGUUCGGUGUCGUCUCUUGCGCCGGCAGU
Carassius carassius (crucian carp) is the source of this 539-nucleotide long non-coding RNA. RefSeq lists it as uncharacterized. Lineage: Eukaryota; Metazoa; Chordata; Actinopteri; Cypriniformes; Cyprinidae. The record is from RefSeq and is a predicted model, not a curated record. The transcript has 4 exons.